CCUACGGGGGGCUGCAGUGGGGAAUAUUGGACAAUGGGCGAAAGCCUGAUCCAGCCAUGCCGCGUGUGUGAAGAAGGCCUUCGGGUUGUAAAGCACUUUCAGUGGGGAAGAAAGCCUUGGGGCUAAUACCCUCGAGGAAGGACAUCACCCACAGAAGAAGCACCGGCUAACUCCGUGCCAGCAGCCGCGGGAAUACGGAGGGUGCGAGCGUUAAUCGGAAUUACUGGGCGUAAAGCGCGCGUAGGCGGUCUGAUAAGCCGGUUGUGAAAGCCCCGGGCUCAACCUGGGAACGGCAUCCGGAACUGUCAGGCUAGAGUGCAGGAGAGGAAGGUAGAAUUCCCGGUGUAGCGGUGAAAUGCGUAGAGAUCGGGAGGAAUACCAGUGGCGAAGGCGGCCUUCUGGACUGACACUGACGCUGAGGUGCGAAAGCGUGGGUAGCAAACAGGAUUAGAUACCCUUGUAGUC
RNAcentral lists this ribosomal RNA (465 nucleotides) under Vreelandella stevensii. RNAcentral describes it as "partial 16S ribosomal RNA". It matches the Rfam family "Bacterial small subunit ribosomal RNA", at positions 338 to 795 of the family's 1533-position model. Lineage: Bacteria; Pseudomonadati; Pseudomonadota; Gammaproteobacteria; Oceanospirillales; Halomonadaceae. The record is from RNAcentral.